Molecule: ribosomal RNA, 490 nt
Filed under: uncultured bacterium
Lineage: Bacteria
Description: partial 16S ribosomal RNA
Rfam family: Bacterial small subunit ribosomal RNA
Source: RNAcentral
AUUGAACGCUGGCGGCAGGCUUAACACAUGCAAGUCGAGCGGUAGCACAAGAGAGCUUGCUCUCUGGGUGACGAGCGGCGGACGGGUGAGUAAUGUCUGGGAAACUGCCUGAUGGAGGGGGAUAACUACUGGAAACGGUAGCUAAUACCGCAUAACGUCGCAAGACCAAAGAGGGGGACCUUCGGGCCUCUUGCCAUCAGAUGUGCCCAGAUGGGAUUAGCUAGUAGGUGGGGUAAUGGCUCACCUAGGCGACGAUCCCUAGCUGGUCUGAGAGGAUGACCAGCCACACUGGAACUGAGACACGGUCCAGACUCCUACGGGAGGCAGCAGUGGGGAAUAUUGCACAAUGGGCGCAAGCCUGAUGCAGCCAUGCCGCGUGUGUGAAGAAGGCCUUCGGGUUGUAAAGCACUUUCAGUGAGGAGGAAGGUGGUGAACUUAAUACGUUCAUCAAUUGACGUUACUCGCAGAAGAAGCACCGGCUAACUCCGUG